GUAUGAAGUAUUUGUACAAAUGCCAAAUAGAUCUAUGUGAUUGAUAAUGGUUUUGGUAAAUUCCUAGGGUGGCCAUGUCUAAAUACCAGCUUUCAUGGGUUGAAGUAAUGCAAGUGUACUAUCUUAGAGCUCUAUUCCCUAGAAAUCCCACAUUGACCUGUUAGCAGAAACAAGCUACUUUUGAAAACUUUAAGGAAGGAUUUUUCCUGCCCAUUCCUAACUGUUACUGAUUUGUUGGCCAUUCUUGAUCUGCUUGGUUUUCAACUGCAGCACUUUACGCUCUGCUUGCAUCAUUACAUGGCAUUAGUCUCUCAUGAAUGUGACCCAUCUUCAUAAGAACAGAUGCCCUAGUUGGGGAAUGGGUCCACCCUGUUCAAAGAGGAUACUUUUAAUUGCUAAGAUCACAAUGACUCUCAUUUCAAACUCAGUAAAAUUUGGAGGUACUGUUUAAGUUCUAACUUAACCAUGUUUAGAACUUAAACAUGUAUUUGCCUGGAAGUAAUUUGACCCAUAACAGAAAUGAUUGAUUCACAAGUAUACUUUUUCUUUACUUCCUGAUGGAUCUGUCAAGUGUUAUAAAUGAAUGCUGAAACCUUCUAGUGUAAGAGUAGAAUAAUUUCUCAUUGUAGUUUCAUCAAUUUUUUGUCUAUUUUGUUUUUUUUUCCUUGUAUGCUCCUUCUCUUGCCAUUUAGUAACAAUCAUGUUCCUGCAGUAAUUGAGCCUGUGUGUUUUAAACAACCAUCUCCAUACACUUUAGACCCAUGUCCACAGUUAGGAAGCCCCUGGAGUGUUUCUUCAGCAAACCAAUAUACUGACAGUUACUCUAUAUUUCCCUAGAUUGCUAUAAAGUCAUAAUGGAGGUGGUAUCCAUUGAUUUGGGAGGAGACCAACAAAAUUAUAUUGCUGAGGUAGCCUCUGCAACAAAUGAGGAAAUUCCCCCAAAUGGCAUGGUGGAGUUCAUUCCUGAAGAAAGCAUGAGUCGAGAGACCCCAUCAAAAGCCAUUGCCACAUCAUCACCAUCAAGGCCAUGGUCCACAGAGAAAAUAUAGGAAGCGAUUUAGAGGAUGAGGAGGAGGAAAAAAGGACCAGAAAUCUGCAAGUAAUUGAUUUUCUAUUGGUUUCUCUUAAUUAUUCUUUCUUAUGGAAAGGCUGUAGAUUUUCCAUGUUUCAUCUUUCCCACAUUUUAUAACUUUUCUAAAGGUAUUUUCCUCAUCCAGAUCUUUGAGGUCCUUGGACCUUCAAUGUCUGUUAAAUCUCUCUGCACUAACAUUCUUAGUCAUUCCCUGUUUUUUUUUUUUCACCACAGGCAACAGCACUUAAUUAUGCUGAGCAAUACUGCAUACCCAUACACUGAGUCUGAGUUGUAGGGAGCAUCAGAAACACUGAGUUGUUGCCUGAUGCAUGAGACACAAACAAUAUGGUUCUGUUUUACUGACCACUGAAUAGCUGGGUUUUUCUGCCUUUGCUGGC
Molecule: non-coding RNA, 1470 nt
Organism: Ictidomys tridecemlineatus (thirteen-lined ground squirrel)
Lineage: Eukaryota; Metazoa; Chordata; Mammalia; Rodentia; Sciuridae
Source: RefSeq, a predicted model, not a curated record